AACCAUUCUCACCUGCGGCUAGACCUGCGGAGGGAUCAUUACAGAGUUGCAAAACUCCCUAAACCAUUGUGAACGUUACCUAAACCGUUGCUUCGGCGGGCGGCCCGGGUCCUUCCCGGCGCCCAUCGGCCCUCGCGGGCGCCCGCCGGAGGUAAACCAAACUAUUGCAUUGUAUGGCCUCUCUGAGUCUUCUGUACUGAAUAAGUCAAAACUUUCAGCAACGGAUCUCAGAUCGGAAGA
Molecule: unclassified non-coding RNA, 240 nt
Filed under: soil metagenome
Description: partial contains 5.8S ribosomal RNA, internal transcribed spacer 2, and large subunit ribosomal RNA
Source: RNAcentral